AUCCCAGAUAAGAUUGAAUAUUUUUUCAAGUUCUUACACUGAUUCAUGGGAGGCCUAAAUUAAUGGUUGGAAGUUUCGCUGAUAAAUGCCUUUAAUUUAAAUUUACAUCAAGGUGUUUACUAGUAACUAUGCCACACAUUU
Molecule: small nucleolar RNA, 141 nt
Organism: Lathyrus oleraceus (garden pea)
Lineage: Eukaryota; Viridiplantae; Streptophyta; Magnoliopsida; Fabales; Fabaceae
Source: RefSeq, a predicted model, not a curated record